AUGCCGCCGGCUCCCCGCAGGAGCCCCCCGAGGUCGGGCCGGGACUCGGCGCCUCUGUCGCGCACACGAGGGCGUCCCCGGUCACCGGGGAGGCGCGCGCUCCUCCAGUCCGCGGGCGGGGCGCACCCCUGCCGCCCCCGGCGAGAGCCCGGCCCAGGCUCCGAGCCCCUGGGCGCCCGGGAGGCGUCUGGAGCGUCCCGCAGCGGAGCCCCUGGGCCGGCGACGGCCCUCAGACGCCACGGCCGGGCGGGGCCCCGUGGGGAGGCCGGGCAGGUCCCGGGGAGGGCGCCGGAGCCGGUCCUGCGGCAGCUCCCUUCCUGCCCCCUCCGCCCUCCCCGGCCCGGCCUCCCGCGGCCUCCGCUCCGCGCGCAGCCUCUCAGGCCUCUUCCCCUGGCUCCCCCACGCACCACUGUCUCUCCUCACACUCCGCCUCCGCUCUCACACCCGCCUCUCCUCUCCUCAAACCCCGCCUCUCCUCUCCCCACACCUCGCCUCUCCUCUCCCCGCACACCCUGCCCCUCCUCUCCUUACACACCCGCCUCUCCUCUCCCCACACCCCGCCUGUCCUCUCCCCACACCCCACCUCUCCUCUCCCCCGACCCCUGGCUCUCCUCUCCUCUCCCCACCCCUUCCUCUCCUCUUCUCUCCUCUCCUCUACACACCUGGCCUCUGCUCCCCUCCCCGCCGCCUCCUCCCCGGCCUCCCGCCUCCGUCUUCGCCUGGGGUAGUUGCCCCUUUGAAGCCCCCGCCGGCUUCGCGGCGUCCUCAGCGCUCCCACCACGCGCGGAGCUGCCCUCAGGCCCCUCGGUUUCAGCUCCUUUUCAUCCUUUCCUUCUCAACUUGAUUAAAACCAGCGGAGAAACCGACGUCAGGGGGCGGGGUCAUGUUCGAGGGGGCGGAGCCUACGCUCUGGGGCCGCCCCGCCCCGCCCCGCCCUUCCCCGGCCCGGGCCCCUAUGUGCUGGAGGGCGGGGGCGAGGUCAUAUGGCUGAGGGGGCGGAGCCUAUGCUCAGGAAGGAAGCGAAGCCCCGCCCCGCCCCGUCCGGUCCUCGGCCCCUUUGGGCAGGCGCGCGGGGACACGGCCCGGGCUGUUUCUCCGAGGCCGUGCGUGGCCAGCCGUCCUGAGCCCACAAAGCGACCAGAUUUAGCAGAGAUGUCUCAGAAAGCGUUGGCUGGAGAAGUCCUUCUGUCUGGGGCAGACGCGCCCCGGCUGCUCCCAGGCCUCCUCUGA
Molecule: long non-coding RNA, 1230 nt
Filed under: Bos indicus x Bos taurus (hybrid cattle)
Lineage: Eukaryota; Metazoa; Chordata; Mammalia; Artiodactyla; Bovidae
Description: lncRNA (ENSBIXG00000012388.1)
Source: RNAcentral